This 492-nucleotide ribosomal RNA is filed under the name uncultured bacterium. RNAcentral's name for it is "partial 16S ribosomal RNA". It matches the Rfam family "Bacterial small subunit ribosomal RNA", at positions 29 to 507 of the family's 1533-position model. The record is from RNAcentral.
AGUGAACGCUGGCGGCAGGCCUAACACAUGCAAGUCGAACGGCAGCACAGUAAGAGCUUGCUCUUACGGGUGGCGAGUGGCGGACGGGUGAGGAAUACAUCGGAAUCUACUUUUUCGUGGGGGAUAACGUAGGGAAACUUACGCUAAUACCGCAUACGACCUACGGGUGAAAGCAGGGGAUCUUCGGACCUUGCGCGAUUGAAUGAGCCGAUGUCGGAUUAGCUAGUUGGCGGGGUAAAGGCCCACCAAGGCGACGAUCCGUAGCUGGUCUGAGAGGAUGAUCAGCCACACUGGAACUGAGACACGGUCCAGACUCCUACGGGAGGCAGCAGUGGGGAAUAUUGGACAAUGGGCGCAAGCCUGAUCCAGCCAUGCCGCGUGGGUGAAGAAGGCCUUCGGGUUGUAAAGCCCUUUUGUUAGGAAAGAAAAGCAGCAGGUUAAUACCCCGCUGUUCUGACGGUACCCAAAGAAUAAGCACCGGCUAACUUCGUG